Molecule: ribosomal RNA, 253 nt
Filed under: uncultured bacterium
Lineage: Bacteria
Description: partial 16S ribosomal RNA
Rfam family: Bacterial small subunit ribosomal RNA
Source: RNAcentral
UACGUAGGGUGCGAGCGUUAAUCGGAAUUACUGGGCGUAAAGCGUGCGCAGGCGGUUCGUUAAGUCAGAUGUGAAAGCCCCGAGCUCAACUUGGGAACUGCAUUUGAAACUGGCGGGCUGGAGUGUGGCAGAGGGGGGUGGAAUUCCACGUGUAGCAGUGAAAUGCGUAGAUAUUGGGAGGAACACCAGUGGCGAAGGCGGCUCACUGGACUGGUACUGACGCUGAGGCGCGAAAGCGUGGGGAGCAAACGGG